RNAcentral lists this ribosomal RNA (111 nucleotides) under Caerostris darwini. Lineage: Eukaryota; Metazoa; Arthropoda; Arachnida; Araneae; Araneidae. The record is from RNAcentral.
UUGGCCGUACCAUGCUGAAUAUACCGGUUCUCGUUAGAUCACCGAAGUUAAGCAUCAUUGGGCGCGGUCAGUACUUGGGUGGGUGACCGCCUGGGAACACCGCGUGCCGUU